Non-coding RNA from Canis lupus familiaris (dog), 116 nucleotides. The record is from Rfam. NCBI's taxonomy places the organism in Eukaryota, Metazoa, Chordata, Mammalia, Carnivora, Canidae.
GUCUACGGUCAUGCCACCCUGGACGCGCCCGAUCUCGUCUGAUCUCGGAAGCUAAGCAGGAUCGGGCCCGGUUAGUACUUGGAUGAUGGGAGAUCGAGCCCCAAGCCCUGUGUGUC